RNAcentral lists this transfer RNA (68 nucleotides) under uncultured Eubacterium sp. It matches the Rfam family "tRNA". From Rfam's summary of the family: Transfer RNA (tRNA) molecules are approximately 80 nucleotides in length. Their secondary structure includes four short double-helical elements and three loops (D, anti-codon, and T loops). Further hydrogen bonds mediate the characteristic L-shaped molecular structure. tRNAs have two regions of fundamental functional importance: the anti-codon, which is responsible for specific mRNA codon recognition, and the 3' end, to which the tRNAs corresponding amino acid is attached (by aminoacyl-tRNA synthetases). tRNAs cope with the degeneracy of the genetic code in two manners: having more than one tRNA (with a specific anti-codon) for a particular amino acid; and 'wobble' base-pairing, i.e. permitting non-standard base-pairing at the 3rd anti-codon position. The record is from RNAcentral. Lineage: Bacteria; Bacillati; Bacillota; Clostridia; Eubacteriales; Eubacteriaceae.
GGGAAUUAGCUCAGUUGGCAGAGCACUUGACUUUUAAUCAAGUUGUCCGGGGUUCGAAUCCCCGAUUC